GACGAACGCUGGCGGCGUGCUUAACACAUGCAAGUCGAACGGAAAGGCCCUGCUUUUGUGGGGUGCUCGAGUGGCGAACGGGUGAGUAACACGUGAGUAACCUGCCCUUGACUUUGGGAUAACUUCAGGAAACUGGGGCUAAUACCGGAUAGGAGCUCCUGCUGCAUGGUGGGGGUUGGAAAGUUUCGGCGGUUGGGGAUGGACUCGCGGCUUACCAGCUUGUUGGUGGGGUAGUGGCUUACCAAGGCUUUGACGGGUAGCCGGCCUGAGAGGGUGACCGGCCACAUUGGGACUGAGGUACGGCCCAGACUCCUACGGGAGGCAGCAGUGGGGAAUAUUGCACAAUGGGCGGAAGCCUGAUGCAGCAACGCCGCGUGCGGGAUGACGGCCUUCGGGUUGUAAACCGCUUUCGCCUGUGACGAAGCGUGAGUGACGGUAAUGGGUAAAGAAGCACCGGCUAACUACGUG
RNAcentral lists this ribosomal RNA (468 nucleotides) under uncultured bacterium. Its description in RNAcentral is "partial 16S ribosomal RNA". It matches the Rfam family "Bacterial small subunit ribosomal RNA", at positions 28 to 507 of the family's 1533-position model. The record is from RNAcentral.